GAUGAACGCUGGCGGCGUGCCUAAUACAUGCAAGUCGAGCGAACAGACGAGGAGCUUGCUCCUCUGACGUUAGCGGCGGACGGGUGAGUAACACGUGGAUAACCUACCUAUAAGACUGGGAUAACUUCGGGAAACCGGAGCUAAUACCGGAUAAUAUAUUUAACCGCAUGGUUCAAUAGUGAAAGACGGUUUUGCUGUCCCUUAUAGAUAGAUCCGCGCCGCAUUAGCUAGUUGGUAAGGUAACGGCUUACCAAGGCAACGAUGCGUAGCCGACCUGAGAGGGUGUUCGGCCACACUGGAACUGAGACACGGUCCAGACUCCUACGGGAGGCAGCAGUAGGGAAUCUUCCGCAAUGGGCGAAAGCCUGACGGAGCAACGCCGCGUGGGUGAUGAAGGUCUUCGGAUCGUAAAACUCUGUUAUUAGGGAAGAACAAAUGUGUAAGUAACUAUGCACGUCUUGACGGUACCUAAUCAGAAAGCCACGGCUAACUACGUG
This 497-nucleotide ribosomal RNA is filed under the name uncultured bacterium. RNAcentral's name for it is "partial 16S ribosomal RNA". It matches the Rfam family "Bacterial small subunit ribosomal RNA", at positions 28 to 507 of the family's 1533-position model. The record is from RNAcentral.